RNAcentral lists this ribosomal RNA (434 nucleotides) under uncultured bacterium. Its description in RNAcentral is "bacterial SSU rRNA". It matches the Rfam family "Bacterial small subunit ribosomal RNA", at positions 958 to 1392 of the family's 1533-position model. The record is from RNAcentral.
AACGCGAAGAACCUUACCUGGGUUUGACAUAUACCGGAUCGCCUCAGAGAUGGGGUUUCCCUUGUGGUCGGUAUACAGGUGGUGCAUGGCUGUCGUCAGCUCGUGUCGUGAGAUGUUGGGUUAAGUCCCGCAACGAGCGCAACCCUUGUCCUGUGUUGCCAGCAAGUAAUGUUGGGGACUCGCAGGAGACUGCCGGGGUCAACUCGGAGGAAGGUGGGGACGACGUCAAGUCAUCAUGCCCCUUAUGUCCAGGGCUUCACACAUGCUACAAUGGCCGGUACAGAGGGCUGCGAUACCGUGAGGUGGAGCGAAUCCCUUAAAGCCGGUCUCAGUUCGGAUCGGGGUCUGCAACUCGACCCCGUGAAGUCGGAGUCGCUAGUAAUCGCAGAUCAGCAACGCUUCCGUGAAUACCUUCCCGGGUCUUGUACACACCG